This 1193-nucleotide long non-coding RNA is filed under the name Cyanistes caeruleus (blue tit). Its description in RNAcentral is "lncRNA (ENSCCEG00000011593.1)". Lineage: Eukaryota; Metazoa; Chordata; Aves; Passeriformes; Paridae. The record is from RNAcentral.
GCCAAAUUUAGCAAAUAGUUUUAGUGGGGACCUGUAUUUAUCAAAUUACCACCUUCAAGACAAAUGCUUACAAGGAAUGCUCAGUCUUCCUAGACCUUAUUCCGCUAAUGAGGGCAUGCCCCAUCUUUUCCAAAACACCACUUCUAAGACAAUGGUCCAAUUUUUACAUUAGAGCCACGUCUGCCUUGUACUGGCUGAGUAGCUGUCAUUUGGAUUCCUCCUAUCAACUCUGAAUUCCCUUUCAUCUAAGGUCUGUGUUAUGUGAUGGCAGCCCAGAGCAAUGACCUAUGACUAUGCUUGACUUCUUAUCUCAUGACAUGUGGACUAACUUACAAAUGCAGGAUGAAGCUAAUUAGAUUCACAGAGUCACAGAAAUGCUGGUUAGAGGAGACCUCUGGAGAUCUGCAGUCCAGCCUCCCACUCAAAGCAGGAGUGCUGCCAGCACCAGAUCAGGUCAACCACGGCUUGGCCCCACAGCCUCUUAAAAAUAUAUAAAGAUGGAAAUUUUGCAACUACUUUUGGUGACCUCUUCCAGUGCUACACCGCCCUCUUGAUGAAGAAAUCAAGCAUGAGAAAGUCUGCUGAGAGUUGUAGUAUCUUGUAAAAGACUAAUGAAGGUCAACUAAAUUUUGUUCUUAAGAAAGAGACUGUCCCUAAAAGUCUUGCCUGACUGUUAAUUCUCACAGAAGGAGUAAAACCCAGUUAAGGAAUGGUAUUUACUGGCCUAUGUCUAUUUUAAUCUCUCACCAGUGAAUAUAUCCUCAAAAUCACCUUCUGAUGGUAUGGAAAUAUUCUCAGUUUUAUCUGACGGAAGGAGAACUGAGGUGAACAGACACUGUAUUCAAUUAUACAGCACAUCCAAAACAAAGCCAGGAGCUGAAUCCAGAUUUCCUAUGCAGUGCAUAACUGAGUUAACCACAAAAUCAUUUUAGUGUUACUUAGCUUUCUUUUCCCACUAGCUACUGCAAAAGUAAGUUGCAAAAAGUUGAAGUAAGUGUCUAAGGGCAGCAGGAAUGAUGACAGCCUUUGUCAGGAUCUGAAAUUUAGAAUUGCUCUUUUUUACUGCAUAAGAAAAAGUCAUUCUUCCUUUAUCCCUACAGGUAUGGAGCUGACUCGGAUCUCAGUCUGCCAUUCUUUCACUUCAUCACUGAGAUGAAUCCUGCAGUUCCUCCUGGAGAAUGUAAAUCGAAGUC